Molecule: long non-coding RNA, 11447 nt
Organism: Loxodonta africana (African savanna elephant)
Lineage: Eukaryota; Metazoa; Chordata; Mammalia; Proboscidea; Elephantidae
Exons: 3
Source: RefSeq, a predicted model, not a curated record
CGUUCCGAUGCUCCGGUCACCUGCGUUUGUUCCCGGAAGCACGGACGGCGUUGGAGAGGGCUGUGCUCAUUGCAGGCUCUGAGGCCAAGAGUAGACUCAGGUCGUAGCAGCCCCCAUAGCUCCCUUCUGGGUGCAGCGCCUUCUUCACGUGCGCCAUCCCUACAGAUCACUUGCUCUGGGGAAAACUAGCUGCCGUGUUGUAAGGACACUCAAGCAGUCCUAUGAAGAAGCUCACAAAGUAAAAAACUGAAGCCUCCAGCCAAAGCCAGGGAGAAUCAAGGCCUCCUUCCAACGGUCACUGGAAAGUCUCGAAGUCUGGCCAGUGUAAUCCACUGAGCUUGGAAGCUGAUCCUUCAGCCUCAGUCCAGGCUUUAGCUGAGGGCAGCCCUGAGCUGAAGCCACUCAGCUAAGCGGCUCUUAGAUUCCUGACCUACAGGCACUAUGAGAUAAUGAACAUUUGUUGUUUUAAGCCACUACAUUUUGGGGUAAUUUGUUAACCAGCUAGAGAUAACUAAUACAGUCAGCCUCAUCCAGGGAGAAAAUGUGCUCUGGAAACUCUUGGAGAAAAGUGAGGAAGUUCUCUCCCAGAAGCCUCCAGCAAACCCUUCCUUGCAUCUGAUUGGCCCAAACUGAAUUCUAGGUCUAUCCUUCAACUAGUGACUGGCCUCUGGGUAGGAUGAGGCUGAGAACCUCAGAUCUGGGCCACUUCUGAGGGUUAGUACCCCAUAAUACGUGGGGAAAUAGGGGGGAAAUUUGGAGAACUGAACCAAAGAUGGGGGGAUUACCAAGAAGACGACCCCAAGGUUCCAUACCACGUCUCUUUAGGCUCCUUCCAAGCUCCUCUGAGUUUCUUGGAAGUGGCUCAACAGUGUUGAAAUUCUGGGUCAAGCAGAGAGAAUUUUCACUGUCAUGAGUCAUCUAUGGACCGAAAAACUCAACUGAAAGUGUUAGGAGAAAAUCAGCUUGGAUGUAUACGUGAGUUUUGUCAUGUUUUGUUUUUUGGUGAGAGCUUUAUAGAGGUAUUCACAUACCACACAGUUUACCCACUGGAAAGAUACAAUUCAAUGGUUUUUAGUAUAUUCACAGAGUUGUACAACUAUUACCACAAUUAAUUUCAGAACAUUUUCAUUUUCAUCACCCAAAAAAGAAACCCAUACCCUUUAGCUGUUGCUAAGUGCCAUCAAGUCGAUUUUGACACAUAGCAACCCCAGGUGACAGAGUAGAACUGCUUCACAGGGUUUUCUAGGCUGUAAUCUUUUUUUUUUCAAAUAAUAUUUUAUUGUGUUUCCGGUUCAGGUUUACACAACAGCUCAGGUUCCCGUUCAACAAUUUCUGCACAAGUUGUUCGGUGAUAGUGGUUACAUUCUUCACAAUGUGUGAACAUUCUCAUUAUCUCCAUUCUGGUUGCUCCAUGUCCAUUAGUCUAGUUUCUCUGCCCCCUUUACCUUCUCAUCUUUGUUUUAAAGUAAUUGCUGACUGUUUGGUCUCAUGUAAGUGAUUUUUUUAAAGGAGCACAGUACUUAUGGGUGAUAUUCAUUAUUUUUUAAGCCAGUUUAUUAUUUAGCUACAAGGUGGCCUCAGGGGUUAGUUUCAGUUUCAGGUUUGAAGAACAUCUCAGGGCAGUAGUCUUAGAGAGUCCUCCAGUCUCAACCAAUCCAGUAAGUCUGUGUUUUUUUUUUAGGAAUUUGAGCUUCCGUUGCACAUUUUUCUGCCAUUCUAUCAGAGUCCAUCUAGUGUGGUCCUGAUUAGAAUGGUCAGUAGUGGUAGCUGGGUACCACCUAGUUCUUCUGGUCUCGGGGUAGAUGAGACUGUAAUUUAGUGUAGACUUUUUGUCUUGUAGACUUAUUUCUUCUUUGAGUCUUUGGUUUCUGUUGUGGAUUGAAUUGUGUCCCCCCAAAAUGUAUGUCAACUUGGCUAGGCCACGAUUCCCAGUAUUAUGUGAUUGUCCACCAUUUUGUAAUCUGAUGUGAUUUUUCUAUGUGUUGUAAAUCCUAUGAUGUUAACGACGGAGGAUUAGAGGCAGUUAUGUUAAUGAGACAGGACUCAAUCUUCAGGAUUAGGUUGUAUGUGGAGUCAAUCUUUUUUGAGAUAUAAAAGACAGAAUCAAGCAGAGAGGAGGUGGACCUCAUUACCACCAAGCAAGAAAGGCCAGGAACAUGCGUAUCAUUUGGACCUGGGGUCCCUGCCCUGAGAAGCUUCUAGACCAGUGCAGGACUGAUGACAAAGACCUUCCCCCAGAGCAGACAGAGAAAGAAAGCCUUUCCCUGGAGCUGGCACCCUGAAUUAUGAGUUCUAGCCUCCUAAACUGUGAGAGAAUAAACUUCUGUUUGUUAAACUGUACACUUGUGGUAUUUCUGUUACAGCAGCACUAGAUAACUAAGACAGUUCACUCCUUUCUCUUUUGCUUUGGAUGAGUAGAGAUCAGUAGUUGUAUCCUAGAUGGCCGCUCAAGAGUUUUUAAGACUCCAGACACUACUCAUCAAACUAGGAUGUAGAAUAUGACUUUAUAAACUAUAUUAUGCCAGUUGCCAGUUGACUGAGAUAUCCCACAAGUCUGUGCUCCUAACCCUUCAAACCCAGAAAUCCAAUCUCAAGAGGUAUUUGGUUAUGUCUAAGAAGUACCCGUAACUGUGCCCCCUAUGCGUUUUAUUGUACGUCUGAAUACAUGCACGUACGGUCACAUAGAUGCAUAUACAUAUACAUAUGCAUACAUCUACAUGUACACACACAUACGUAGGCUGUAAUCUUUACAGAAGCAGAUUGUCAGGCUUUUCUUCCAUGGAGCCACUGGGUGGGUUUGAACUGCCAAAGUUUCAGUUAGCAGCCAAGUGCUUAACGGUUGUGUCACCAGAGCUCCCCUCCCAGCUGUAGGCAACUAAUUAAUCUGCUUUAUGUCUCUUCUCCGUGUGUUUUAAAUACGUGCUUUGUUUGUCUGAAAGCAGCAGAUAAGAUAUUUGAAAAAAACGGAGAAAAGUAAUUUUCUCUAAUACAAACUAUAAGGUGUGGGGUAGAAUGUUACAAUGGAACAUUGCUUGUGUGUGUUUUCUGACAGACACUUUUUUAAUCAAAUGGGCUAUAGUUUUGCUGAAAUGGUUUGACAGCUCUAUUGUCAUUGAUCCUUGAUGUUUGGGAAGGUGGUGGGUGUAGGCAGGAUGUAUGUGGGGGCUGACCUGGGCUUGGAAGAGGGGAGGGAGGACAGGUCUAAGGGGUAGUAUGGUGGUUGGGGUUGUGCAAACAGAGCAGGAGAGGAAAACCACAGAGACCCAGAGGGCUGACACGGAGGACUUGACAUUCCGGUACAAUGGUGACCUGGUUUGCCAAGGUCUUGGAGCAAGCCCAGACUAGCCUGACCACGAACCUCAGCUUUAGGUGCUCAGGGCCCCUUCUUUAGUCAGCCAGGCUGAAUCACGGCCCCAGAUCAGGGUCAGCUACGGAGGAAUGACGAGGAUUAGGGUUCAAAGGUGAAAUCCCUUUGAUUGUCCAAGUUCUGAACUUCAAGGCCUGAGUGAUGAAGGUCUCCUCCGGCCUUCUCUGUCUCUGUGAGCCAGGAGCCUGCUCUUGACUUCCCAGCUGCCCUCACACAACGCAGGCUGAGAGGAGGAGCCAGCCAUGCUUCUCUGAGUGGCCACACUUGACUCUGGCCCCAGUGGCUCUUUGGUGGACUUGAGCCUGACUUCAGGCCCACCUCUGCCUCUGCUUCCCUCUAGAGACCUGGGGAAGGUUUCUAUUACUCUCUGGAUCUCAGUCUCCCCAUCUGUACAAUGGGGGUACAAAUGAAUGACCCCUCAGGGCUUUUCCAGGUCUCUCUUCCUACAAGACCUAGUUUGGUUUAAAAUAAUGUUAAGUCAUCAUUCUACAGUUUGCAGGGUGUCCUGUUACAUUGCUUACUGCUCUCAUUUAGUGUCAUUUAGAGGCUGGUGGCAUAGUGGUUAAGUGCUAUGGCUGCUAACCAAAAGGUCAGCAGUUCUAAUCUGCCAGGUGCUCCUUGGAAACUCUUAUGGGGCAGUUCUGCUCUGUCCUAUAGGGUUGCUAUGAGUCAAAAUCGACUCGACAUCACUGGUUUGGUUUGGUUUGGUUUAGAGCCACAUCUCAGCAGCAUGGCCAGGAGUCUGAGAUCCCAGGCCUGGGGGAGGGACUGCUAGAGUUUGAGUCACAGCUUUGUUGUUGGUGAGUGCUGGGCCUUUGGGCAAAUACCCAUCCUGUCUCUGCCCCAGUUUCCUUCUCUGUAGAACAGAAUGCAUUAGAACCUAUCUCAUAGGGGUGUGUGCAGAUUAAAUGGGAUAAUGCCUGUAAAGUGCCCUGUACAUAGUAGCCAUUCAAUAUAUUCUAUCAACACAGGUGUGAAGAGUUGUGGGAUUCCCCAGACUACCCAGGCAAGGUGCUGUCUCUACCGCAUCGUGCCACUUGUCCCCCGGGGGUGUAGGGGAAAGCCACGAUCUUCUGGAUGUUCCUGAAUCCAAAUGCUUGAGAGGGCAGGCUGACCGGGGACACUUCUCUCCUAUGCUUGGGCAGAUGGUCUGGUUUGGUGGCUGUCAUGGAUUGAAUUGUGUCCCUCCAAAAUAUCUGUCAAUUUAGCUAGGCUAUGAUUCUCAGUAUUGUGUGAUUGUCCACCAUUUUAUGUGAUUGUCCACUAUUUUAUGUGAUUUUCCUGUAUGUUGUAAAUCCUAUCACUACGAUGUAAUAAGAUGGAUUAGCUGCAAUUAUAUUGAUGAGGUCUAUAAGAUUAGGUAGUGUCUUAAGCCAAUUGCUUUUGAGAUAUAAAAGGAAGAAGGGAGCAGAGAGACAUGGGGACCUCAUACCACAAAGAAAGCAGUGCCGGGAGCAUUGCGUGUCCUUUGGACUGAGGCUCUUGCACUGAGAUGCUCCCAGACCAAAGGAAGACUGAUGCAUCACAAGGACCUUCCUUCAGAGCUGACACAGAGAGAAAGCCUUUCUCUGGAGCCAAUGCUCUGAAUUUGGACUUGUAGCCUGCUAGACUGUGAGAGAAUAAAUUUCUCUUUGUUACACCCAUCGACUUGUGGUAUUUCUGUUAUAGCAGCACUAGAUGACCAAGAUAGUGGCCAUUGGUGGCAUGCUGAAGGGAGCUUUGGAGGAAUUCUGGAGCAGCAGGCUACAGAGGGUGCCUAGGCCAGCUCUAAUCCAGGAGGCCAGGAUGAGACAGGGGUAUGGUGGCCUGUGAGGUGAGCCUCUGGCAGCUGGGCAAGGCCAUGUCUUGUUCACUGGAGACCCUGUUCUUUCCUCUUGCAGAGGAAGUGUGGAUGAGGGCUUGGAGAGCUUGAUUCAUCCGAUGACAAUGCUGCAAUAUAUUGCUCCACAUAACCAACAUAAAUAUAUACUCUAGUGUUUGCAUUUUGUUGGCGAUGUUUUCAGCUUCUCCUUUGGUAUUUUCUUUUUGUGUCUGGUCUUCAGCAAUAUUUUCUAAAGCAUCUAGAAUCUGAGUGUACGAUUCCAGAAUUGCACUCAUUGCUACAGCAUGUGCUUUCCAACUUGUGUUAGAAAGACAUUUUGAUACUUGGUAGAAAUAUAGUCCCCAGGGAGUCAUUUCCCUUCUUUCAGUCUGUCCCUCCCCUCCUCAUCCUGAGCCCUGCCCAUCAUGGAUGGGCAUGGUAUGGUCCAUAAAGAGCUUUCUCUGAGGCUCACCUUACUCCUGUACCCACUGGCCUCAUCCCCACUCUAACCCCCUCCCCCUGGGCCUGCCUCGCCGGCUCCCACUUGGUCUGUCCCCUCAGCUGCCAUUAAGUUGGUUCUGACUCAUGGUGACCCCGUGUGUGUCAGGGUAGAACUUUGCUGCAUAUGGUUUUCAAUGACUAAUUUUUCAGAAGUAGAUCACCAGGCCUUUCUUCUGAGGUGCCUCUGGAGGUACUUGAACUGUCCAACUUUUCCGUUAGCUGCUGAGUACCUUAACUGUUGUACCAGCCAGGGACUCCUCACCCAGGCCAGAUUAAGGCAUGUGAGGGCCCUAACCACUGUGGUGCCCCUCCUCUACUUGCUUACGAAUUCGAAUGGGAUAUGUGAGUUAUUUAUAUCCAUGGGUGUGUCUCAGCUACUCCAUGAUAUAGCUUCUUUUUAAAUGUGACUAUAAUAUUAGCAACUGAAUGCGAAAGUGGCGCAUGCCAUUUUAGCAGGAUGGGAUGAACCGGGUUAUAAAAUUUUAGUUGGAUGCAGAGUACUAAGAUUUUUAUUACAUACCACAUUUUCUACAAAAAGAAUAUUCCACAUAUUCCACGACAAAGAGAAUGAGUCAGCGAACUCAGUUGUUUCCACAAUCAAUGUAAAAUUCUGAUCUCCCCAACAAAAAAUUGACUUUCACCGAUUUUUGCUUUAAAUGGCUACUUCAAUUUUGAUGCCUUGUUUCAUAGUAAAUACUAUAAUUAUAGAUGAACAAAUGAAAAGGUGUCAUAAAAGAAAAUAUAAUGAUCAGGAACCGAAUAUUACAGCAAAUUACUAUAUUUUAGUUUUAGAUAGAUCUUUCAUCUCUAACGUGUUAUAAUUAAAAAUAUUUCUUUCUAGUCUUAGCUCUUACAAAUUUUUCAAUGAUUUCAUCACAAUUAAGCUGCCAAAUAGUAUCUAUUUCCAUACAUAAUAAAGAUACUGAAUUGAGUCUUUCUUCAAUCAUUAUUGUACGCUGAGGAGUUUUGAGUCUCUUUAGGGACGAAAAUGAGCAUUCUGUUGUACAGUUUGUGAUCAUUAAAGUUAGGGAUAUGUGUCAAGCAAUUUCAACACUGGGAAAUACGCAUCGUAUUUUAUACUGUGGAAUCAUACAAGCCUACAUGAGUAAAAUUUGUCUUUCCUGAAUCUGUAAACUUAGAUCUCAUGUGAGAAUGAAAUGGUUGCACUUCUCUGUAAAGGUCUGUACUUAAGUCAUCGGGAUAAACUUGCACUAAUCUCUUGGAUGCCUUCAUGCAUUCUUCAUCAGGUACAUCCACGUUGUUGAAGAAGAAAAAUAUAUUUGAAAGAACUUCGUACACUUUCGCCUUUCUUUUCAUGCAAGAUUCAAGUGUGUCAAUUAUGGUCAAUGAUUUUGAUACGUGGUUACUCAGAACUGAUCUCUGGCACUCAAUGAUACUUCUGGAGCACUUCUGUCAGUUACUUGUUUCUUCGUAAUGCUUCUGCGACAGUGAUCUGCUUGAUAAAUCUGUAUAUGGCAGUUUUCGUUUUGUUGUGUUUUCAAAAUUUUGAAAACCUUCUCUUAAAUUAUGUAAAUACCCUGUUGAUGACUGGUAGAGAUCUGUACAUGUCUUUAAAUUUACUUCUGAAUCUUGGAGAUCUUGAUUCAUCCGAUGAAAAUGCUGCAAUAUAUUGUUCCACAUAACCAACAUAAAUAUAUACUCGUGUUUGCAUUUUGUUGGUGAUGUCUUCAGCUUCUCCUUUGGUAUUUUCUUUUUGUGUCUGGUUUUCAGCAAUAUUUUCUGAAGCAUCUAGAAUCUGAGUGUACGAUUCCAGGAUUGCACUCGUUGCUACAGCAUGUGCUUUCCAACAUGUGUUAGAAAGACAUUUUGAUGCUUGGCCAUUGCCUAAAUAUGUUUUAAGAACUGCCCAUCAGUGGGUAGAGGUGGCAAAAAAUGUGUAAAGUAACCGAACAGUAGGAAAAAAACCAACUGCUUCCAGACAUCAAUCUAUUGCACUGUGUGAACGCUGAGCACAUGGUAUGAAAAUGGCAUAUUAAUUAUGUUCUAAAAUUUUCUGUUGCAUGCCUUUAUAACACCCUGACAUAUUGGCAGCAUUGUUAUAGGACUGGCCUCUGCACUUAGAAAAUCAGUUUUGCAAACUUCACAUAAUGAAAUAUCUGGUUUGCAAUUUCUUCACCAGUAGUUUUUUUUUUUUUUUAAUGGCUUUUUAAGCUUGUAAUUGUGAAAAAUUGCUCGACAAGUUUUCCAUCUAUUGGAGAUAUGAUUCUUAAAACAGUACUUAGCUGAUCUGUAUGAGAAAGAUCGGGGUGGAAUCUACAGACAAACUGAAAUAUUGAGCUAUAUAUAUAUAUAUUUUUAUUAACUUUUAUUGAGCUUCAAGUGAACGUUUACAAAUCAAGUCAGACUGUCACAUGUAAGUUUAUAUACACCUUACUCCGUUCUCCCACCUGCUCUCCCCCUAAUGAGUCAGCCCUUCCAGUCUCUCCUUUCGUGACAAUUUUGCCAGCUUCCAACUCUCUCUAUCCUCCCAUCCCCCCUCCAGACAGGAGAUGCCAACACAGUCUCAAGUGUCCACCUGAUAUAAAUAGCUCACUCUUCAUCAGCAUCUCGAUAUAAAUAGCUCACUCUUCAUCAGCAUCUCUCUCCUACCCACUGUCCAGUGCCUUUCAUGUCUGCUGAGUUGUCUUCGGGAAUGGUUCCUGUCCUGGGCCAACAGAAGGUUUGGGGACCAUGACCGCCGGGAUGCCUCUAGUCUCAGUCAGACCAUUAAGUAUGGUCUUUUUGUGCGAAUUUGGGGUCUGCAUCCCACUGAUCUCCUGCUCCCUCAGGGGUUCUCUGUUGUGCUCCCCGCCAGGCCAGCCAUCGGUUGUAGCCAGGCACCAUCUAGUUCUUCUGGUCUCAGGAUGAUGCAAGUCUCUAGUCCAUGUGGCCCUUUCUGUCUCUUGGGCUCUUAGUUAUCGUGUGACCUUGGUGUUCUUCAUUCUCCUUUGAUCCAGGUGGGUUGAGACCCAUUGAUGCAUCUUAAAUGGCCGCUUGUUAGCAUUUAAGACCCCAGACGCCACAUUUCAAAGUGGGAUGCAGAAUGUUUUCAUAAUAGAAUUAUUUUGCCAAUUGACUUAGAAGUCCCCUUAAGCCAUAGUCCCCAAACCCCCACCCUUGCUCCGCUGACCUUUGAAGUAUUCAGUUUAUCCCUGAGCUAUAUUUAUUUCACUGAAAAUCACUGAUCUAACUUUAUUACUUAUUAAGCUUAUUAAUUCUUCACAUGUUGUUUUAGACAUAUAUGAUGGGUUGCCCUUUCCUGUUACCAUAUUUUGAGGUGAGAUCUGCUAAAAAUGGAUCAAAUUGAGCAACAAGUUCAAGUAAACACAAAAAAUUUCCAUUUUGUGGGGACCCAAACACUUAAUUUCUUCAAUAAUGCAUUGCAAAACAACUUUUCAGUUCUGACGUUCUUCAUUAAUUUGUGUUUCCAGUUCAUGAGUUAAGCUAAAACCAUGUCUUUGGUUUAAAUAUGACAACAUACAAUCUUUGUGAAUUGAACUGUUUUCAUGUUUACCGAUCAUGUACAUAUUAGAGUUGCACCAAUCACUAAAUCCAUCUGUAGCAAAUUGAGAAUUAACUGAUUUAGGGCUGAAGAGUUUGCAAACAAAACAAUAUACAGAGCUGACUAAUGGAGAAUACAGAAGCCACUCCCUCUUAUAGUUCUCACCAAUAGCUUUGCACCCUAGAAAUAUAUUCCAGCUACAGAACUUUGUUUUCUUUUACCAUCCUGAAAUUUUCGAUACAAAUUUUCAAAUGGUCCAUUGUGAUGCUGACAAUCACUUGGCCCUCUCUUUCAAUCCAAUAAUUUACAUCAUUAUAAGAAAACUUACCCACAAAGCAGGAUCUGUAGUUCUGUUGUUUACGGGGUCUGCAGAUGUGACAAUUUCAGAUACUAAAAUAGUUUCACUUUCUAUACAAUUAUUGAUUUUUUUUUACAACAGCAAGGAAUGGGUGCAGAAUUUGGAACAAGUUCUGUUAUAUUUGUACUGCUAUUAGUAAUUUUGGAGCCCUGGUGGUGCAGUGGUUAAGCGUUUGGCUGCUAUCCAAAAGGUCUGAAGUUCUAAUCCAGCAGCCGCUCCUUGGAAACUCUAUGGGGCAGUUCUACUCUGUCCUAUAGUGUCGCUAGGAGUCAGAAUUGACUCGAUGGCAAUGGUUUUUUUUUUGUUUGGUUGGUUUUAUUAGUAAUUUCAGAACUAGCGGUACUAGUACAACUAUUUGUACCCAUUAAGCCAGAGGGUUUAAUGGAGGAUUCUGUUCUGCUUCAUUAUUCAUUACAUUUUAAAAAGGAAGUUAAUUUUGGAAUUAUCUUUAGGGAUUCAAAAAUCCUUUUCUUUUUAUCUUCUUUGAGAUUUUGCUUUUGUGCUCCACUUCGUUGUCACCAUUUCAUUUUAGCUGGAUGUAAAAUUAUGUCACUUUUUUUCUUUUUUGUUUUAUCAUACUUUAGAUGAAGGUUUACAGAACAAACUAGUUUCUCAUCAAAUAGUUAGUACACACAUUGUUCUAUGAUAUUGAUUAACAACCCCACAUGUCAACACUCUCUCUUCUCAACCCUAGGUCUCAUAUUACCAGCUUUCCUGUUCUCUCCUGCCUUCCAGUCCCUGCCUCAGGACAGGUGCAUCCCUUUAGUCUUGUUUUGUUCCAUGGGCCUGUUCAAUCUUUGGCUGAAGGGUGAGCCUCAGGAGUGACCUCAUUACUGAGCUGAAAGGGUGUCAGAGGACCAUACUCUCAGGGUUUCUUAACUCUCUGUCAGGCCAGCAAGUCUGGUCUUUCUUUCGAAGUUAGAAUUUUGUUCUACAUUUUUCUCCAGCUCUGUCUGAGACCCUCUAUUGUGAUCCCUGUCAGAGCAGUCAGUGGUGGUAGUCAGGCACCAUCUCAUCAUUCUGGGCUCAGUCUGGUGGAGGCCGUGGUAGAUGUGCUCCGUUAGUCCUUUGGACUAAUCUUUCCCUUGUAUAUUUAGUUUUCUUCAUUCUUCCUUGCUCCCGAAGGGGUGACCAGUGAAGUAUCCUAGAUGGCUGCUCACAAGCUUUUAAGACUCCAGAAGCUACUCACCAAAGUAAUAGAACAUAUUCUUUAUAAACUCUGUUAUGCCAAUUGAGCUAGAUAUUCCCCAAGAUCAUGGUCCCCACAGCCCUCAGCCCAGCAACUCGGUCCCUCAGGGAGUUUGGAGGUGUCUAUGGAGCUACCGUGACCUUGCCUCGUACAGGUUGUGCUGGCUUCCCCAGUAUUGUGUACUGUCUUACCUUUCACCAAAGUUUCCACUUAUCUAUUAAGUGUUUUUCCAUCUCCACCCCUCUUCUCUCUCGUAACCAUCAAAGAUUGUUUCUUUUUGUAUGUAAACUUUCUCAUGAGUAUUUACAGUAGUGGUCUCUUACAAUAUUUGUUUUUUUGUGGUUUAUUUUUUCACUCAGCAUAAUGUUCUCCAGGUUCAUCCAUGUGAUAAGAUGCUUCACAGAUUCAUCGUUGUUCUUUAUCUUUGUGUAAUACUCCAUUGUGUGUAUAUACCACAGUUUGUUUACCCAUUCAUCUGUUGAUGGGCACCUAGGUUGUUUACAUCUUUUUGCUAUUGUGAACAAUGCUGCAAUGAACAUGGGUGUGCAUAUAUGUCUGUCUAUUCAUGUGAUGGCUCUUAAUUCUCUAGGAUCUAUUCCUAGGAGUGGGACUGCUGCAUCAUACGGUAUUUCUAUUUCUAGCUUUCUAAGGAAGCGCCAUAUCAUUUUCCAAAAUGAUAGUAUCAUUUUGCAUUCCCACUAGCAGUGCAUAAAUUAUGUCACUUUCUAA